RNAcentral lists this ribosomal RNA (908 nucleotides) under uncultured bacterium. RNAcentral describes it as "bacterial SSU rRNA". It matches the Rfam family "Bacterial small subunit ribosomal RNA", at positions 8 to 878 of the family's 1533-position model. The record is from RNAcentral.
AGAGUUUGAUCAUGGCUCAGAACGAACGCUGGCGGCGUGCCUAACACAUGCAAGUCGAACGAGAAAUCGGGCACUCAGGCAACUGAGUGCCGGAGAGUAAAGUGGCGCACGGGUGAGUAACACGUGGGUAACCUACCCCCGAAUCUGGGAUAACCUCGCGAAAGCGUUGCUAAUACCGGAUAUUGUCCUAUUGGUUGUGGCCUUUGGGAUGAAAGGCAACCUCUUCAUGAAAGUUGUCGUUCAGGGAUGGGCCCGCGUACCAUUAGCUUGUUGGUGGGGUAACGGCUCACCAAGGCUACGAUGGUUAGCUGGUCUGAGAGGAUGAUCAGCCACACUGGAACUGAAACACGGUCCAGACUCCUACGGGAGGCAGCAGUGAGGAAUUUUGCGCAAUGGGGGAAACCCUGACGCAGCAACGCCGCGUGAGUGAAGAAGGCUUUCGGGUCGUAAAGCUCUGUCAAGUGGGAAAAAAGUCUGAUGAUUAAUAGUUGUCAGAUCUGAUGGUACCACUGGAGGAAGCACCGGCUAACUCCGUGCCAGCAGCCGCGGUAAUACGGAGGGUGCAAGCGUUGUUCGGAAUUACUGGGCGUAAAGGGCGUGCAGGCGGUUUGGUAAGUCAGAUGUGAAAGCCCUGGGCUCAACCCAGGAAGUGCAUUUGAAACUACCAUCCUUGAGUAUGGGAGAGGAGAGUGGAAUUCCCAAUGUAGAGGUGAAAUUCGUAGAUAUUGGGAGGAACACCCGUGGCGAAGGCGACUCUCUGGACCAAUACUGACGCUGAGACGCGAAAGCGUGGGGAGCAAACAGGAUUAGAUACCCUGGUAGUCCACGCUGUAAACGAUGAGAACUAGGUGUAGCGGGUAUUGACCCCUGCUGUGCCGAAGUUAACGCAUUAAGUUCUCCGCCUGGGG